UUUCUUGUGCGUAUACUACGUCACCAUGAUGAUCAUUCGUGAGUUCCUUUGGAAUCGGACGUCAAGUAGUGUUCUCGUUUUAGCGAGUACAUUGAUUUUUUCAAGAAAUUUUUGGAAUAUUUAUUUAAAAACCAAUAAGCUUCUUCAUGACGAUGGCAUACCGUGAUCGUGAACGUGGUGAUAGGAGAGGUGGAGGUGGUUCUAGAGGAGGCCGUUUUGGUGGACGAGAUGGAGGCAGUGGUGGAAGAUUUGGAAGUAGUGCAAACAGAGAUAACAGCAGUUUUGGAAGUAAUAAUUUUAAAAACCGUCAGCCUGGUGAACGAUUACGCAAACCUAGAUGGGAUAUGAGUACUUUGCAACCAUUUAGAAAAGACUUUUAUCAACCACAUCCUAAUGUCACAACAAGAAGUCUUCAUACAGUUGAAGCUUACCGUUCAGACAAAGAGAUCACAGUAAAAGGCUCUAAUGUCCCUGGGCCCAAUAUUUAUUUUGAAGAGGGUGGUUUUCCAGAUUAUGUUUUAAGUGAAAUUCGUAGACAAGGCUUUGGAGAACCAACAGCUAUACAAGCACAAGGUUGGCCUAUUGCUUUGUCUGGACGUGAUAUGGUUGGCAUAGCGCAAACAGGAUCUGGAAAAACAUUAGCUUAUAUUUUACCAGCUAUAGUGCAUAUUAAUCAUCAACCUAGAUUAAGUAGAAAUGAUGGUCCUAUAGCUCUUAUUUUGGCACCUACAAGAGAACUUGCACAACAAAUACAACAAGUAGCAUCAGACUUUGGAGUUUCUUCACAGGUUAGAAAUACUUGCAUUUUUGGUGGAGCUCCUAAAGGUCCACAGGCACGAGAUCUGGAAAGAGGAGUAGAAAUUUGUAUAGCAACUCCUGGUCGUCUAAUAGAUUUUUUGGAACGCGGUACAACAAAUCUUCGUAGAUGUACAUAUUUGGUACUUGAUGAAGCAGAUAGAAUGCUUGAUAUGGGGUUUGAACCCCAAAUUAGAAAAAUUGUAGAACAAAUACGUCCAGAUAGGCAAACACUUAUGUGGUCAGCAACAUGGCCAAAAGAAGUUCGUAACUUGGCAGAAGAGUUUUUAACUGACUAUAUACAAAUCAAUAUUGGCUCUUUACAAUUAGCAGCUAAUCAUAAUAUCCUUCAAAUAGUGGAUGUAUGUGAAGAAUAUGAAAAAGAAAGUAAAUUAAUGAAACUUUUGGAAGAGAUUUCUAAUGAACCAGAAAAUAAAACUAUCAUUUUUGUUGAAACAAAAAGAAAAGUGGAUGAUAUUACACGAGCUAUUAAUAGAUAUGGAUGGCAAGCAAUUGGCAUCCAUGGAGAUAAAAGUCAACAAGAAAGAGAUUAUGUAUUAAAUCAAUUCCGGAAUAGCAGAUCAGCAAUACUAGUUGCUACGGACGUUGCAGCAAGAGGUUUAGGUAAGAUUCUGUUUUAGCAAGUGUGGGUAUGAUGUAAGGGUCAGGCUGCGAUGGUUGUUUCACGGUUGUGAGAGUCUUAAUAUUGUGAUGUGGCAACGGAUAACGGCAUGUGCCAGACUGAUUGACGUUAGUCCCUAAGCAACGUGGAUGAAGAUAACUUUAAGAUUGUUUAGGAAUAUCAUGGAGCAGGGUAUUUAAUGAUUUAGAAUUUAUAUUUAUUUAGCCAGUUUUAUAUUUAAUUUUUCUCACCCAUUUAGAAGAUUCAGUGAUUUAAACAUCUUUAUAAGUACAAAUAAAUGUUACUACCAAUAUGAUCUAUUUAGAAAUAAGUCUGAAGAAGGAGGAAUAAUUCUUAACUUAUUUCUUCAUUAGUUGCAUUAUUAGUUUAGGUGGAUUUUGACAUACGUUUUCAAUUUUGAUAAAAAUUGAUUCUAAAUCAAACUGACUUGAGUAAAAUAUAUAAUAUCGUAUAAAAUAAUCUCAGAACAUAUACAUACAAGCAAUAUAUGUAAAGUUUAGAAGUUUAUCAAAAUGAAAAGUAUGCCAAGAUAUUUCAGGUAAAGUCGAAAAUGAGCAGGUAAGAAGAUAGAAACGUUUGUUUUUCGAUUUUGCUCUGAUUGAGACAAGUCUUGUCAGUCUGGUAUUAACGUGCUGUUCUAUGUGUUUUCAGAGGCACAUGCGACGGAGUUUUAUCAAUGAUAAGAACUCUGGAGAGUUUGCUUUGGAAUAUAUAAUUGAACGGGGCGUGACUGCUGGUCUUCGCCCCCUCGCAACAAGCUAAACUAACGCUGUGCCUCAGCCGUGCCACUUGAAAAAACACACUCUCACUCUGUACCUGCGAUGGUCCAAAGUAUGGAAGUAACAAUGUUAGGGAAUCUAUAAUGUAUACAGGGCAAUUAAACCUGAUAGAUAUUGAUAUAUAUUAGAUUAGAGUAAUAGGAUAUAGUAUCGAUUUACGUUUUAAUAUUUGCAGAAUUAAUGCAUUCAUAUCGAUUCUAAAAUCAUAAUUUAUAAAUUUCCUUUUCUAUGAGGUAUGUUUCGAUUGUAGUAUCGCAAGACUGCUUAAAAUACUUACGAGUUUGAAGCAGUGUUAGAAUUUGUUAUUAAACAGGUUGGAGAGACGAUUCGUUAUAUCGAAGAAAGUCGUCGGUAAAUCGAUAAAUUACAAUCUUCCGUGCAGUUGGUAAUAGCUUUAUAAAACUUCAGCAAAUAACAAAAAGAAAUCCUUGAUGCUAAACACGCAAUGGAGUAUACAUGGGGUUGAGUGGAGUGCGCAUAUGGUGCUCAUCCAAUGUUCAAACCUUACCGAAGCAAUGCACAAGGACCAAAUUUUCAAAGACCAGCACAGAUCCAUACUUUGGUGCGGGAGAGAAGGGUGUGAAGUUACUAAGAAUAAAUGUAGAGCUCGCUCACUCAUUAAGCGAGAAUUCUAUGAGAACCAUCUGAGCUCUGAUUCCUCUACAUUUCCAAAAAUGUAUUUACAUUUCCAGCUUUAGGCACAAACAGAUGUGGAAGAUGUCAAAUUUGUGAUAAACUUGGAUUAUCCGUCCAACUCAGAAGACUAUGUUCAUCGUAUUGGACGUACGGGACGAUCGCAACGAACAGGAACUGCAUAUGCCUUCUUUACACCUGGAAAUGCACACAAAGCUAGUGACC
RNA transcript from Vespula vulgaris, 3075 nucleotides. RefSeq lists it as uncharacterized. Lineage: Eukaryota; Metazoa; Arthropoda; Insecta; Hymenoptera; Vespidae. The transcript is spliced from 4 exons. The record is from RefSeq and is a predicted model, not a curated record.